GCAAACUUGGUCAUUUAGAGGAAGUAAAAGUCGUAACAAGGUUUCCGUAGGUGAACCUGCGGAAGGAUCAUUAGGAAAAAAACAAAAAAAAGGUCGAUCCCCCCCACAAAUGGGGACGACCAAAUCCAUAUCCACCUUGUGUGCACCCAUUGACCGUUCGCUUUGGCAGGAAAAGGAGCCUUCGAUUGUCUGAUCGAAGGGGCCGAGAUCUCUCUCUUUGAGAGAGCGUCGGCCUGCCAGAGUUUUUCUUCUUCUUUCACGCCUUCUUCUGAACCUUUUGUUUUUUGACUGAACCUUCGUCUCGAUUCUCUUGUAAUCGGUCGAACCAAAUACAACUUUCAACAACGGAUCUCUUGGCUCUCGCAUCGAUGAAGAACGCAGC
This 382-nucleotide unclassified non-coding RNA is filed under the name uncultured fungus. RNAcentral's name for it is "partial contains small subunit ribosomal RNA, internal transcribed spacer 1, and 5.8S ribosomal RNA". The stretch from base 1 to 73 matches the Rfam family "Eukaryotic small subunit ribosomal RNA", at positions 1759 to 1831 of the family's 1831-position model. The record is from RNAcentral. Lineage: Eukaryota; Fungi.